GGGGGAUUAACUCAGUGGUCAGAGUGGCUGCCUGUUAAGCAGCUGGUCAUAGGUUCAAAUCCUAUAUCCCCCGCCA
Molecule: transfer RNA, 76 nt
Filed under: Vibrio phage vB_VorS-PVo5
Lineage: Duplodnaviria; Heunggongvirae; Uroviricota; Caudoviricetes; Demerecviridae
Description: tRNA-Asn
Rfam family: tRNA
About the family: Transfer RNA (tRNA) molecules are approximately 80 nucleotides in length.
Source: RNAcentral